This 324-nucleotide ribosomal RNA is filed under the name bacterium xpnta308lb822offp11.20. Its description in RNAcentral is "bacterial SSU rRNA". It matches the Rfam family "Bacterial small subunit ribosomal RNA", at positions 51 to 377 of the family's 1533-position model. The record is from RNAcentral.
ACACAUGCAGUCGAACGAUGAACCUCACUUGUGGGGGGAUUAGUGGCGAACGGGUGAGUAACACGUGAGUAACCUGCCCUUGACUCUGGGAUAAGCCUGGGAAACUGGGUCUAAUACCGGAUAUGACUCCUCAUCGCAUGGUGGGGGGUGGAAAGCUUUUUGUGGUUUUGGAUGGACUCGCGGCCUAUCAGCUUGUUGGUGAGGUAAUGGCUCACCAAGGCGACGACGGGUAGCCGGCCUGAGAGGGUGACCGGCCACACUGGGACUGAGACACGGCCCAGACUCCUACGGGAGGCAGCAGUGGGGAAUAUUGCACAAUGGGCG